This 906-nucleotide ribosomal RNA is filed under the name Agaricus sp. RNAcentral describes it as "LSU rRNA". It matches the Rfam family "Eukaryotic large subunit ribosomal RNA", at positions 53 to 952 of the family's 3401-position model. Lineage: Eukaryota; Fungi; Basidiomycota; Agaricomycetes; Agaricales; Agaricaceae. The record is from RNAcentral.
GACGGAGAGACUAACAGGAUUCCCCUAGUAACUGCGAGUGAAGCGGGAAAAGCUCAAAUUUAAAAUCUGGCAGUCUCUGGCUGUCCGAGUUGUAAUCUAGAGAAGUAAUGCCCGUGCUGGACCGUGUAUAAGUCUCCUGGGAUGGGGCGUCAUAGAGGGUGAGAAUCCCGUCUUUGACACGGACUACCAGUGCAUUGUGGUAUGCUCUCAAAGAGUCGAGUUGUUUGGGAAUGCAGCUCAAAAUGGGUGGUAAAUUCCAUCUAAAGCUAAAUAUUGGCGAGAGACCGAUAGCGAACAAGUACCGUGAGGGAAAGAUGAAAAGAACUUUGGAAAGAGAGUUAAACAGUACGUGAAAUUGCUGAAAGGGAAACGCUUGAAGUCAGUCACGUUGGCCGGGAAUCAGCCUUGCUUUUGCAUGGUGUACUUUCUGGUUGAUGGGUCAGCAUCAAUUUUGACYGCUGGAAAAAGGCCUGGGGAAUGUGGCAGCUUCGGCUGUGUUAUAGCCCCUAGUCACAUACAGUGGUUGGGAUUGAGGAACUCAGCACGCCGCAAGGCCGGGUUUCGACCACGUUCGUGCUUAGGAUGCUGGCAUAAUGGCUUUAAGCGACCCGUCUUGAAACACGGACCAAGGAGUCUAACAUGCCUGCGAGUAUUUGGGUGGAAAACCCAAGUGCGYAAUGAAAGUGAAAGUUGAGAUCCCUGUCGUGGGGAGCAUCGAUGCCCGGACCAGAACUUUUGGGACGGAUCCGCGGUGGAGCAUGUAUGUUGGGACCCGAAAGAUGGUGAACUAUGCCUGAAUAGGGUGAAGCCAGAGGAAACUCUGGUGGAGGCUCGUAGCGAUUCUGACGUGCAAAUCGAUCGUCAAAUUUGGGUAUAGGGGCGAAAGACUAAUCGACCUCUGGGCCU